CACAGUGUAUAAGAAUGACAGCAGCAGUACUGCAGGGGAGGCAGAGGCGUCAUGACAGCUCCACAGUACAAAAUAUGAACAAAACUGUUGAGCUGCAUCAAUACUGAAUUUCUGGACCAACAACAAUAACCAAUACGCCUUGUUGUGGCUAAUACUGACACUAAUAACUGAUACCACAGUGGCGUUCCUGCCUGGAUGGGGACUUGUACCUGCAAUCUUCUUGUGUGGGAUGGUGGUGCGGUCUAGUAAGCUCUGUAUGAGCAACUUCAAAAGAAUGGAGGUCCCCAUCACGUGUUGUCAGUGAGAUAAAAAUGAUUGGUUGUGAUUUUCAGGAGUGAUUCCAAUAUUAUACUAGUAACAAUAUAAUUUUACAUUUUAUCAGAGAAUAAUAUAUUGCAUACCCCUAAAAAAGACCUAUGAAGUCCACACAAAAAGAUCAAAAGUGUUCCUUCACUGUGCACCAAAACACAAGUCAACACCACAAUGCAAAACUGUAUUGUAAUUAGAACUACAGUCAUAAACUG
Colossoma macropomum (tambaqui) is the source of this 524-nucleotide long non-coding RNA. RefSeq lists it as uncharacterized. Lineage: Eukaryota; Metazoa; Chordata; Actinopteri; Characiformes; Serrasalmidae. The transcript has 2 exons. The record is from RefSeq and is a predicted model, not a curated record.